This 4939-nucleotide long non-coding RNA is filed under the name Homo sapiens (human). RNAcentral describes it as "HSALNT0306132". The record is from RNAcentral. Lineage: Eukaryota; Metazoa; Chordata; Mammalia; Primates; Hominidae.
CCUCAAGCAAUCCUCCCACCUUGGCCUUCCAAAGUGCUGGGAUUACAGGCCUCAGCCACCAUGACUGGUCCUAAUUUCAAUUUUAGUCUCUUAAAUUAUUAUAAAUUAAGAAACAUCUUGCUGCCUUUCAAGUAACACUAAAAAGUAACCAUGGUUUUCUGUGGAAAAGGUGUUCUCUUGUCAUCAAGUUUUAAAUACUCUGUUUAUUCUGGGUUAUCUAAGAUUUAACUUUAAUCAUUCUGAAAACUUGAAGAGACGCUACUUUGUAUUUAAGUGAAGCCGUGCACUUGUAAAUCUUAUCAUAAAGAAUCACACAAGGCCCUUACAAUAUUAUACAAAAUUUAAAUCAACUUCGAUUUAACUAGUCAUCUAAUUAUCAUCAUUUACUUUACAUUCUCACUAAUUAAUUUGGAGACUUUUAAACUUUGUUAGAAUUUUUAUUUCCUUUUCCAUUGACAUGUAACAUCCAUUAAGAAAUGAAACAACAUAAAAUGAACUCUACAAACAGUCUCCACUCACUUCUUCAUAGCCAAAAUGUCUUUUUUGGGAGCAUCUCUGCUUUACCAAAUAGAAGCCUUAAUGGAUAGAGAAGCAGGUUCACAUGAGGAAGAUAAUGCUACAUGGCCAAGGGCCUCUUUAGAAUUUCUCGACUUGCAACUGGCAUGUUGAAUUCCACCUAAAGAUGUAUUUUAUUUUGCCUAGACAGUGCUUUCUCCUCUUUGCUUUCUAAUUGAGCUGACAUAUUGACAUUCUGAGAUUUCACAUGAAAAUUUGUAUUUGUGACAUGUCUCAAAAAAUCAGAAAUUCUGGCAUCUGGGGCUGGUUCCCCAAGAAGCAGGCAAUAACUAGCUGAAGCUAAGUAUCUCUUGCCUCCUCUAGAUGGGGCAAAUUCUCCCUAGUUCAAAACAGUCCAGCCAGGCCCCCUUCAUGGGGUGUUUUUACCUAUCUGGCAUUUGAGUUGGUGAUGCUGGCUUUAGCAUAUCUAUUCCAACUUUAUUUGUAUGUCCCCUGAGGACCAUAAGAAACUGAGUUGUCAUGCAGAUAACUGCAAAACUCCUGUCUCCUUUCAGUAUAACUUUUCCGAGUUGCCUCCUAGGUAGGAAGAAGCUUUUGAAAUAGGAGAAAAUAGUUAUUUCAUGUAUUCAGGUGGUUAUUUGCAUAAAUGAAACUUUGGAACACAUUAUCCUUUGCUGAUUCCCAAAGACACUAAUGCCCCUGGGACACACCCAGGGCACUGAUUUGAAUUGCCAAUGACAAAUCAAAGUGUCAGUCAUGGGUAGAUAUGGAAAGCAUUUGUGGGCCCUCCAGGUUCAAUCAGAACUAUCAGUGGCCAGUGUCGUAGAGGUAGUAAUGCUUUUGUUUGUUAGUUAUGAGCAUGAUACAGGUUCAAUAAUCUGACCAGUAACAUUGCACUCUAGCCAGGAUUAGAAAUAUUUUUAGGAAGUCAAAGCCAGAUGUAAAUUAUCCCCUCAAGUAAAUCUUCAUGAUGCAGAUUCUAUAAAAAUUGUAGAAAAUUGCUAUUAUCAUUAUGCCACCUGUUUGUAUAAAGUCCUUUUGUCAGGCCUGGCUCUGUACCUUCGAGCUGCUCUGUGUGCCUCACUCUGCCAUUUGACCAUCACUUUUCAGCAAAUGAGCUUCCAACACCCACCUACAUUCUGAACCAUUAUAUUUUAAACCACCCUGAACUCUUAUUCAACCUGUUCUUGAUUGAUUGCAGCUUCUGAUUCUUAGGGAAAAUCACCUCUGCGUUUUAUUAUUCUUCCUGUAACAAUGUCUGCUGACUUCCAUCCUCAGCUACAAUUCACAGUGAGCUCUUACAUUACAAUAAUACAAAUGUUUACCAUGUGGGGACAUCUAUAUGUACUCGGCAUUAUGCUAAGUGCUAUAACUUGAUGAGAGACUACUUUGUAUUUAAGUGAAGCAGUGCACCUGUAAAGAAGAUUUGGUUAAUCCCACACCACUGCCACCAACAAAUACAUGAUUGGACUGAGAUGUGACUUUAAAGAUACCUGAUACCAACCAAAACUCAAGCUUUCGACAUGCUGGGGCACACUCUGUGUUACUGACCCUAAGCCCUGAAACUCUCCCUACUGCAUGCAUUUGUGGAUACAUUCUGCCAUGUUCAAUGUGGCUAAGAGAAUGAGUGGGAAUCAGAUGUGUAUUCUCCGUUAUGCCUAUUAAAAUUCUAUUCAACUUCAGAGAGCCAACUAAAACUCAACCCCCUGCCUAGUUUUCUCUGACUGACCUUUCUCUCAUCUGAACUCCUAUAAUAAUUAUUCCUUUGAUUGAUUCUGUAAUUGUUCACCUUGCACAACUUUAGUGCAUUUCUUUCUGCUUUAUUUUAAAAACUUAUUUAUCCUCAUUAUUAUUAGUCAGCAUUUUAUGUGUUCAUAUUAUAGAUCCCCUGUUACAAUGAAGACUCCGUGAAGUCAGACACUUUCUCUAACCUCAACAGAACCUUGAUGAAAAUAAGCAUUUAAUUUUUUUCAACCUAAGGUACUUUAAAAGGUUUAGAAUAUUAGGUGGCUAGUAACAUCUAAUAAUAUUCUAAUUUCUGGAGAAAACAUUCCUGAAGACACAGAGAGGGCAAAAACACAAGAAUAGCAACAACAAAAAAAUAGAAUUUAGAGAUACCUCAUAGUCAUAAAGCUAAAGGAGCUGAAUUAAAGAAGAAAAAUAAUAGUUCAGCUAUGCUUCACCUCAUGAACAUGGAGUGACCUCAGGAUAUCACUAUUGUAUUCAUUGAGGCUGAAAUUGGCAGCUUAUCUUUUCUACUGCCUGCCUUGUGGUUCAGAGUUUAUGAUGUGCAAACCCACCAAAUACUAGGCAAGCAUCCCUGUGCUACACAGGUGUUGUUUUCUAAAAUAGCCAGAAUUCUGUUGCUCUUCGUCUUUGCUCCUCUUUCUAUAUCCAUUUAGAGACUGGAAGUCACAGGAAACAACACGGCAGGAAGAGUGGGGGACUGGCAGUAAAAUAAGGCAUCCUGGAGAGUAUAGUAACCACAAUUAUAUUGCUAAAGAUGGAGCUGGAGUUACAGAAAGCACCAGUAGAAAGGCAGGCUGGGGAUUUAAUUUUUUAUGUAUACUAACUACACCCUUACAUCGACAACCAGGCUGGGAAAGUUGGAGAUGAUUCCACCUGUGUCUAGCAAAACUAUGCUAGUAGUCUUGUUGAUGAAAAAUUUGAUAAAGAAUAAUGCUUAUCAAACUGCCUCAAGCUGUACCUAACCCUAAGAAAGGAAUCCGUCCACCCCUAUGAAUAAUGAAUUCAGUCCAGGAAUGGUCACAUGACCUUCUGUAACCAUUAAAGGUUCCAUUUGGCUCUAUGUAGCAGAAAAGUGGACAUAGUGAUUUAAAUAAAUAAAUCUGUAGUGGGUUUUUUUCUCUUUUUCUUUUUAAAUGUUUGUAUAACAAUAAUUCAGAGCAGUUGCUGUGCUUGGCUAAACACAUUAUCAAAGACACAGGUUUAUCAUUUUUCUCCACUCACCAUCUUUAGAAUGUAGUUUUUUUUUUCCUAUUGCCUCUCUUCUCAUGGCCAGCAGAUGGCUGCUUUAUCCUUAGCAUUUCAGCUACAUUCCAGGCAGGAAAGAAGACAAGCAUUAAGGGAAGAAGGCAUGUGCAAGAUGAACCUGCUCUCUUUUAAAUAGCUUCCAUGGAAAGCCCAUUCAGCAAUCUCUACUUACAUCUCGUUGUUCAAAAGGGUAUCAAAUGUUCACGUUUAGCUUCAAGGAAGACUGGGAGAUGUGAUUUUUAAUCAGGACACUUCGCUGCUGCAAACAAAAUAACACUGGAUAGAGAUUAAGGCUAAUAUAAGAUCAGAGUGAAUUAAGAGUGAGGUGAGAGUAGGGACACUCCUCAGAUCACACAGGGCUUUGCAGUCGACUACAAGGAGUUUAGAUUUUAUUAUUUGAUGCACAAUCAGAGGCCACGAAAGGAUUUUAAGCACAUAAGUCUCUCUGUUGGGUAAAGCAUAGGUUAGGAGAGGAAGAGAGAAAAUGGGGACACUAUUAAGGAGCCUGUCCAUCCUAUUCUCUAUUCAAUAAAUCGUGGUGGCUUGUGCUAGAUUGGUUGAGUGGGUAUAGAUGGAACAAAACAAUUAAAGGACAUUGUCAAUAUAGAACUGAAAAGAGUUGCAGAGGGGUUCGAUGUAGGUAGAAAGAAAGUAGGAGUCUUCUGAGAGUCAAGAUGGAGAAACUGGGUGGAUGAUAGUGCCAAUCACUGAGACAGGAAGAACCAAAUAUCACAGGGAUCUGGUGAGGUGAGAUGUCAAGUGGGUCAUAUUCGGUUGUGAGAAGCUUGAGAUUUCAGUGCACACCGAAGUGAAAGUGUCAUAGGGACAAUCAAUUACGUGAGUUUGGAGCUCAGAGAAUAGAUAUGCCUUGGAGAUAUAAUUUUGAUGUCAACAACCAACAGAUGGUAUUUAAUGCUACAGAAAUAGCCAAGAUCCCAUUGAGACAAAGCGUAGAAAUAUAAGAGGGCUCGAACCUUUAAGGAGCCUACAAAGAAGUUAAAAGACUGAUUGGAAAAGGGGGAGUGAACCAGACGAUGUCAGUUGACAUCCAUGAAUUUCAAUAAAGAAGGGGUGCCCAAGAAGACUCAAAUAAAAAAUAUAUAUACAUACACACAAACACUUAGGUAACUAUGGAUUCAGUUUCUUUGAAGACAAAAAUACUUCAAAGGAAUUGAAAAUGAGUCAAAACUAGUAGAUGUAAAUAUUGGUAUAUAUGACCUAAAAAUAUUUUAAAAAACCCGAGAUGUUUGUUUCAUGUACAAGUAUUUUGGAUAUAAUUUAUAAUCAUAUACAAAUAUGCACAGUUAUACAAGUAGUAUUUAUAAUUAUAUAUUUAAAUGUAUGUUUUGAUAAAAACUAAGCAAUUUUAGAGAUUGUUAUAUAUUGUAAAUGUUUUUUCGUCUCCUAUAAAAGAAAAACUGAAAAUUUA